AGGACGAACGCUGGCGGCGUGCUUAACACAUGCAAGUCGAACGGAAAGGCCCUUCGGGGUACUCGAGCGGCGAACGGGUGAGUAACACGUGAGCAACCUGCCCUUAGCUCCGGGAUAGCUCCGGGAAACCGGAAUUAAUACCGGAUACAACACCGGCCGACAUCGGCCGGUGUGGAAAGAAUUUCGGCUAGGGAUGGACUCGCGGCCUAUCAGCUUGUUGGUGGGGUAACGGCCUACCAAGGCGACGACGGGUAGCCGGCCUGAGAGGGCGACCGGCCACGACUGGGACUGAGACACGGCCCAGACUCCUACGGGAGGCAGCAGUGGGGAAUCUUGCGCAAUGGGCGAAAGCCUGACGCAGCGACGCCGCGUGGGGGAUGAAGGCCUUCGGGUUGUAACCCUUUCAGCAGGACGAAGCGAAAGUGACGGUACCUGCAGAAGAAGCGCCGGCUAACUACGUGCCAGCAGCCGC
Molecule: ribosomal RNA, 472 nt
Filed under: uncultured bacterium
Lineage: Bacteria
Description: SSU rRNA
Rfam family: Bacterial small subunit ribosomal RNA
Source: RNAcentral